This 165-nucleotide small RNA is filed under the name Xenorhabdus szentirmaii DSM 16338. RNAcentral describes it as "SraG RNA". It matches the Rfam family "SraG RNA". Rfam says of the family: This RNA was discovered in E. coli during a large scale screen. Evidence was found for specific cleavage of this RNA. The record is from Rfam by way of RNAcentral. Lineage: Bacteria; Pseudomonadati; Pseudomonadota; Gammaproteobacteria; Enterobacterales; Morganellaceae.
CUUCUUGCUACACCCUCACGACUAAUGACAGAACUCAGUAUUCCUUAAGCACUCUCAUUAGCCGCGCGAAUCACUGUAGCGGAAGAGAUUCAGGUUUUGGAAACGGUAUCUAAAUUUCUCAAUUCCGUUUCCUAGAAGAAAAGGGGCCCGAUUAGGCCCCUUUCC